UACAGAGGGGGCAAGCGUUGUUCGGAAUUACUGGGCGUAAAGGGCGCGUAGGCGGCCCGCUAAGUCGAACGUGAAAUCCCCGAGCUCGACUCGGGAACUGCGUCCGAUACUGGUUGGCUUGAGUUUGGGAGAGGGAUGCGGAAUUCCAGGUGUAGCGGUGAAAUGCGUAGAUAUCUGGAGGAACACCGGUGGCGAAGGCGGCAUCCUGGACCGGUAUUGACGCUGAUGCGCGAAAGCCAGGGGAGCAAACGGG
Molecule: ribosomal RNA, 253 nt
Filed under: uncultured bacterium
Lineage: Bacteria
Description: partial 16S ribosomal RNA
Rfam family: Bacterial small subunit ribosomal RNA
Source: RNAcentral